This 254-nucleotide ribosomal RNA is filed under the name uncultured bacterium. RNAcentral describes it as "partial 16S ribosomal RNA". It matches the Rfam family "Bacterial small subunit ribosomal RNA", at positions 524 to 776 of the family's 1533-position model. The record is from RNAcentral.
UACGAAGGGGGCUAGCGUUGUUCGGAAUUACUGGGCGUAAAGGGCUCGUAGGCGGUUCGGUAAGUCGGGUGUGAAAACUCUGGGCUCAACCCAGAGCCGCCACCCGAUACUGCUGUGACUCGAGUGCGGUAGGGGAGCGGGGAAUUCCUGGUGUAGCGGUGAAAUGCGCAGAUAUCAGGAGGAACACCAGUGGCGAAGGCGCCGCUCUGGGCCGUGACUGACGCUGAAGAGCGAAAGCGUGGGUAGCAAACAGG